RNAcentral lists this ribosomal RNA (682 nucleotides) under uncultured organism. RNAcentral's name for it is "bacterial SSU rRNA". It matches the Rfam family "Bacterial small subunit ribosomal RNA", at positions 89 to 794 of the family's 1533-position model. The record is from RNAcentral.
ACAUCAGCGGCGAACGGGUGAGUACACGUGGGUGACCUUCCCCAAAGACGGGUAUAGGCGUUGGAAACAGGNGCUAAUACCCGAUGUGCUCAGCAGUUCACUCUGUUGAGUAAAGCUAUGGCGCUUUGGGAUGGGCCCGCGGCCCAUCAGCUAGUUGGUAGGGUAAUGGCCUACCAAGGCUAAGACGGGUAGGGGGCGUGAGAGCGCGAUCCCCCACACUGGCACUGAGACACGGGCCAGACUCCUAGGGGAGGCAGCAGUGAGGAAUAUUGCGCAAUGGACGAAAGUCUGACGCAGCGACGCCGCGUGGGCGAUGAAGGCCUUCGGGUCGUAAAGCCCUUUUCUGGGGGAAGAGAAAGGACGGUACCCCAGGAAUAAGCCCCGGCUAACUACGUGCCAGCAGCCGCGGUAAAACGUAGGGGGCAAGCGUUAUCCGGAUUUACUGGGCGUAAAGAGCGUUGAGGCGGUUUUGUAAGUUGGGCGUGAAAGCCCUGGGCUUAACUCAGGGAAGCCGUUCAAUACUGCGAAACUUGAGGGCAGCAGAGGGAGGUGGAAUUCCCGGAGUAGCGGUGAAAUGCGUAGAUAUCGGGAGGAACACCAGUGGCGAAGGCGGACUCCUGGGCUGCUCCUGACGCUGAAGGCGAAAGCUAGGGGAGCAAACGGGAUUAGAAACCCCGGUAGU